AUUGAACGCUGGCGGCAGGCCUAACACAUGCAAGUCGAGCGGAUGAAGGGAGCUUGCUCCUGGAUUCAGCGGCGGACGGGUGAGUAAUGCCUAGGAAUCUGCCCGGUAGUGGGGGAUAACGUCCGGAAACGGGCGCUAAUACCGCAUACGUCCUGAGGGAGAAAGUGGGGGAUCUUCGGACCUCACGCUAUCAGAUGAGCCUAGGUCGGAUUAGCUAGUUGGUGGGGUAAAGGCCUACCAAGGCGACGAUCCGUAACUGGUCUGAGAGGAUGAUCAGUCACACUGGAACUGAGACACGGUCCAGACUCCUACGGGAGGCAGCAGUGGGGAAUAUUGGACAAUGGGCGAAAGCCUGAUCCAGCCAUGCCGCGUGUGCGAAGAAGGUCUUCGGAUUGUAAAGCACUUUAAGUUGGGAGGAAGGGCAGUAAGUUAAUACCUUGCUGUUUUGACGUUACCAACAGAAUAAGCACCGGCUAACUUCGUG
RNAcentral lists this ribosomal RNA (484 nucleotides) under uncultured bacterium. RNAcentral describes it as "partial 16S ribosomal RNA". It matches the Rfam family "Bacterial small subunit ribosomal RNA", at positions 30 to 507 of the family's 1533-position model. The record is from RNAcentral.